Molecule: non-coding RNA, 46 nt
Organism: Schistosoma haematobium
Lineage: Eukaryota; Metazoa; Platyhelminthes; Trematoda; Strigeidida; Schistosomatidae
Source: Rfam
AUCUAGCUGACGAGUCUUAAAAUGGGACGAAACGCGUGUUCUGGAU